This 466-nucleotide ribosomal RNA is filed under the name uncultured bacterium. RNAcentral describes it as "partial 16S ribosomal RNA". It matches the Rfam family "Bacterial small subunit ribosomal RNA", at positions 28 to 507 of the family's 1533-position model. The record is from RNAcentral.
GACGAACGCUGGCGGCGUGCUUAACACAUGCAAGUCGAACGGAAAGGCCCUGCUUGCCGGGUACUCGAGUGGCGAACGGGUGAGUAACACGUGGGUGAUCUGCCCUGCACUUCGGGAUAAGCUUGGGAAACUGGGUCUAAUACCGGAUAGGAGCCAUCUUUAGUGUGGUGGUUGGAAAGUUUUUUCGGUGUAGGAUGAGCUCGCGGCCUAUCAGCUUGUUGGUGGGGUAAUGGCCUACCAAGGCGGCGACGGGUAGCCGGCCUGAGAGGGUGUACGGCCACAUUGGGACUGAGAUACGGCCCAGACUCCUACGGGAGGCAGCAGUGGGGAAUAUUGCACAAUGGGCGCAAGCCUGAUGCAGCGACGCCGCGUGGGGGAUGAAGGCCUUCGGGUUGUAAACUCCUUUCGCUAGGGACGAAGCUUUGUUGUGACGGUACCUAGAGAAGAAGCACCGGCUAACUACGUG